This 468-nucleotide ribosomal RNA is filed under the name uncultured bacterium. Its description in RNAcentral is "partial 16S ribosomal RNA". It matches the Rfam family "Bacterial small subunit ribosomal RNA", at positions 28 to 507 of the family's 1533-position model. The record is from RNAcentral.
GACGAACGCUGGCGGCGUGCUUAACACAUGCAAGUCGAACGGAAAGGCCCUGCUUUUGUGGGGUGCUCGAGUGGCGAACGGGUGAGUAACACGUGAGUAACCUGCCCUUGACUUUGGGAUAACUUCAGGAAACUGGGGCUAAUACCGGAUAGGAGCUCCUGCUGCAUGGUGGGGGUUGGAAAGUUUCGGCGGUUGGGGAUGGACUCGCGGCUUAUCAGCUUGUUGGUGGGGUAGUGGCUUACCAAGGCUUUGACGGGUAGCCGGCCUGAGAGGGUGACCGGCCACAUUGGGACUGAGAUACGGCCCAGACUCCUACGGGAGGCAGCAGUGGGGAAUAGUGCACGAUGGGCGGAAGCCUGAUGCAGCAACGCCGCGUGCGGGAUGACGGCCUUCGGGUUGUAAACCGCUUUCGCCUGUGACGAAGCGUGAGUGACGGUAAUGGGUAAAGAAGCGCCGGCUAACUACGUG